AGAGUUUGAUCAUGGCUCAGGACGAACGCUGGCGGCGUGCUUAACACAUGCAAGUCGAACGAUGAAGCCUAGCUUGCUAGGUGGAUUAGUGGCGAACGGGUGAGUAAUACGUGAGUGACCUACCUUUGACUCUGGGAUAAGCCUGGGAAACUGGGUCUAAUACCGGAUACGACCAAUCUCCGCAUGGGGUGUUGGUGGAAAGCGUUAUGGAGUGGUUUUAGAUGGGCUCACGGCCUAUCAGCUUGUUGGUGAGGUAAUGGCUUACCAAGGCGACGACGGGUAGCCGGCCUGAGAGGGUGACCGGCCACACUGGGACUGAGACACGGCCCAGACUCCUACGGGAGGCAGCAGUGGGGAAUAUUGCACAAUGGGCGCAAGCCUGAUGCAGCGACGCCGCGUGAGGGAUGACGGCCUUCGGGUUGUAAACCUCUGUUAGCAUCGAAGAAGCGAAAGUGACGGUAGGUGCAGAGAAAGCGCCGGCUAACUACGUGCCAGCAGCCGCGGUAAUACGUAGGGCGCGAGCGUUGUCCGGAAUUAUUGGGCGUAAAGAGCUUGUAGGCGGUUGGUCGCGUCUGCUGUGAAAGGCUGGGGCUUAACCCUGGUUUUGCAGUGGGUACGGGCUAACUAGAGUGCAGUAGGGGAGACUGGAAUUCCUGGUGUAGCGGUGGAAUGCGCAGAUAUCAGGAGGAACACCGAUGGCGAAGGCAGGUCUCUGGGCUGUAACUGACGCUGAGAAGCGAAAGCAUGGGGGGAGCGAACAGGAUUAGAUACCCUGGUAGUCCAUGCCGUAAACGUUGGGCACUAGGUGUGGGGGACAUUCCACGUUUUCCGCGCCGUAGCUAACGCAUUAAGUGCCCCGCAUGGGGAGUACGGCCGCAAGGCUAAAACUCAAAGAAAUUGACGGGGGCCCGCACAAGCGGCGGAGCAUGCGGAUUAAUUCGAUGCAACGCGAAGAACCUUACCAAGGCUUGACAUAUACUGGACUGCGUCAGAGAUGGCGUUUCCCUUCGGGGCUGGUAUACAGGUGGUGCAUGGUUGUCGUCAGCUCGUGUCGUGAGAUGUUGGGUUAAGUCCCGCAACGAGCGCAACCCUCGUUCUAUGUUGCCAGCACGUGAUGGUGGGGACUCAUAGGAGACUGCCGGGGUCAACUCGGAGGAAGGUGGGGAUGACGUCAAAUCAUCAUGCCCCUUAUGUCUUGGGCUUCACGCAUGCUACAAUGGCCGGUACAGAGGGUUGCGAUACUGUGAGGUGGAGCUAAUCCCUAAAAGCCGGUCUCAGUUCGGAUUGGGGUCUGCAACUCGACCCCAUGAAGUCGGAGUCGCUAGUAAUCGCAGAUCAGCAACGCUGCGGUGAAUACGUUCCCGGGCCUUGUACACACCGCCCGUCAAG
Molecule: ribosomal RNA, 1389 nt
Filed under: uncultured bacterium
Lineage: Bacteria
Description: bacterial SSU rRNA
Rfam family: Bacterial small subunit ribosomal RNA
Source: RNAcentral